This 486-nucleotide ribosomal RNA is filed under the name uncultured bacterium. Its description in RNAcentral is "bacterial SSU rRNA". It matches the Rfam family "Bacterial small subunit ribosomal RNA", at positions 28 to 526 of the family's 1533-position model. The record is from RNAcentral.
GACGAACGCUGGCGGCGUGCCUAACACAUGCAAGUCGAGCGAGGUGAACACCUUCGGGUGAUUGCCGAGCGGCGGACGGGUGAGGAACGCGUGAACAAUCUGUCUUUCACAGGGGGAUACCCGACAGAAAUGUCGGCUAAUACCGCAUAAGACCACAGUGUCGCAUGGCACAGAGGUAAAAGGAGCAAUCCGGUGAAAGGUGAGUUCGCGUCCCAUUAGCUAGAUGGUGAGGUAACGGCUCACCAUGGCGACGAUGGGUAGCCGACCUGAGAGGGUGAUCGGCCACACUGGGACUGAGACACGGCCCAGACUCCUACGGGAGGCAGCAGUGGGGAAUAUUGGGCAAUGGGCGAAAGCCUGACCCAGCAACGCCGCGUGAAGGAAGAAGGUUUUCGGAUCGUAAACUUUUGUCCUAUGGGAAGAAAACAAUGACGGUACCAUAGGAGGAAGCCCCGGCUAACUACGUGCCAGCAGCCGCGGUAACAC